GAUGAACGCUGGCGGCGUGCUUAACACAUGCAAGUCGAACGGUGAACACGGAGCUUGCUCUGUGGGAUCAGUGGCGAACGGGUGAGUAACACGUGAGCAACCUGCCCCUGACUCUGGGAUAAGCGCUGGAAACGGCGUCUAAUACUGGAUAUGUGACGUGACCGCAUGGUCUGCGUUUGGAAAGAUUUUUCGGUUGGGGAUGGGCUCGCGGCCUAUCAGCUUGUUGGUGAGGUAAUGGCUCACCAAGGCGUCGACGGGUAGCCGGCCUGAGAGGGUGACCGGCCACACUGGGACUGAGACACGGCCCAGACUCCUACGGGAGGCAGCAGUGGGGAAUAUUGCACAAUGGGCGCAAGCCUGAUGCAGCAACGCCGCGUGAGGGAUGACGGCCUUCGGGUUGUAAACCUCUUUUAGCAGGGAAGAAGCGAAAGUGACAGUACCUGCAGAAAAAGCGCCGGCUAACUACGUG
Molecule: ribosomal RNA, 469 nt
Filed under: uncultured bacterium
Lineage: Bacteria
Description: partial 16S ribosomal RNA
Rfam family: Bacterial small subunit ribosomal RNA
Source: RNAcentral